This 309-nucleotide unclassified non-coding RNA is filed under the name uncultured fungus. RNAcentral describes it as "sequence contains ITS2". The stretch from base 1 to 52 matches the Rfam family "5.8S ribosomal RNA", at positions 103 to 154 of the family's 154-position model. Lineage: Eukaryota; Fungi. The record is from RNAcentral.
AACGCAUCUUGCGCUCUCUGGUAUUCCGGAGAGCAUGUCUGUUUGAGUGUCAUGAACUCUUCAACCCUUCAGUUUCUAGUGAAUUGUAAGGAGUUUGGAUUUUGAGCGUUGCUAAUCUGAUUAGCUCGUUCGUAAUGUAUUAGCAUCUCGAAAUCGAAAUUCGGAUUGACUCAGUGUAAUAGACUAUUCGCUGAGGACACUUUUUAAUUAAGGUGGCCGAACUAGAAAAAGUUGGAAGCUUCUAAUGCUGUUAGUCACAACAUUUUUCAAUUAGACCUCAGAUCAGGCAGGAUUACCCGCUGAACUUAA